RNAcentral lists this ribosomal RNA (265 nucleotides) under uncultured archaeon. RNAcentral's name for it is "partial 16S ribosomal RNA". It matches the Rfam family "Archaeal small subunit ribosomal RNA", at positions 719 to 982 of the family's 1478-position model. The record is from RNAcentral.
AGUCACUGACAUUAGAUACCCGGGUAGUCCCAGCUGUAAACGAUGCAGACUAGGUGUUUGGACGGCCACGUGCCGUUCUAGUGCCGCAGGGAAGCUGUUAAGUCUGCCGCCUGGGGAGUACGAUCGCAAGAUUGAAACUUAAAGGAAUUGGCGGGGGAGCACCACAAGGGGUGAAGCUUGCGGUUUAAUUGGAGUCAACGCCGGAAAUCUCACCGGGAGCGACAGCAGUGUGAUAGCCAGAUUAAAGGUCUUGCUAGACGAGCUG